Tachyglossus aculeatus (Australian echidna) is the source of this 72-nucleotide non-coding RNA. Lineage: Eukaryota; Metazoa; Chordata; Mammalia; Monotremata; Tachyglossidae. The record is from the annotation of a RefSeq genome assembly.
GGGGAUGUAGCUCAGUGGUAGAGCACAUGCUUCGCACGUAAGGGGCCCCGGGUUCAAUCCCCGGCAUCUCCA